Long non-coding RNA from Anthonomus grandis grandis, 626 nucleotides. RefSeq lists it as uncharacterized. The transcript has 2 exons. The record is from RefSeq and is a predicted model, not a curated record. NCBI's taxonomy places the organism in Eukaryota, Metazoa, Arthropoda, Insecta, Coleoptera, Curculionidae.
UCAUCAGAAUCCUUGAUAUGUUUACAAACAAGCACUACUCAUUUAACUCGAUUACAUUAGAAAACGUGGCAGGUUUAAUAAAUCUACAGUUAAAUGACGAAGAUCGAUAUAAUUUGCUUAAAUUAAUUAAGGAGUAUCGAGACUGUUUUGCCUUAAAUCUAAAUAAAGUUGUUGGAAUGGAAAGACCGACGUAGCUGACUUAAAAAUAAAACUGAAUGAUGACAAACCAAUCCCUUAUCGACCUUAAAGAACGGCUUACAAAAAUCAUGAAACAAUUCCAGAUAUAGUACAGGACCUUUUGGCAAAUAAAAUAAUACAAGAAUCUGAUUCACCCUCUGCCAGUCUCCUUGUUAAGAAAAAUGGGGAGAAGCGAAUGUGCAUAGAUUACAAGGCUUUUAAUAAGAAAUCAAGAGCAAACUUUUUCCCUACGUGAGACUUAGCAUCUGGUUACCAUCAAAUUGCCGUAGAAAAAAAAUCUGUUCCUAAAACGGCAUUCGUAAUGCCAGAUGGCCAUUCCGAAUAUCUGAGGAUGCCAUUUAAUUUGGUUAAUGCCUCUGCGCUAUUUUAAAUAGUUGUAAAUAAAAUAUUAGGUCCACUAAGAUAUGAACCUGCUUGGCUUAUAUUGA